RNAcentral lists this long non-coding RNA (1437 nucleotides) under Mytilus galloprovincialis (Mediterranean mussel). Lineage: Eukaryota; Metazoa; Mollusca; Bivalvia; Mytilida; Mytilidae. The record is from RNAcentral.
CCCCUUUUUACCUUACAUCUAUACACCUGGAAGUCUGGGCUGAGAAUGAUUUCUAGCAGACAAUAUCUGCACGAGCUAAAUUUUCCCCGGGAAUUCAAUCGAGCUCUCUGAUUGGUUGAGAAGGGAAAACAUUUUUAAUGCUAAUGCGAGGUUCGUUACGUCACUAAAAUUUAAUGAAUGAAAUAAAAAUCGGAAAGUAAUAAAAUAAUAAAAAGCAAUCUUUCUGGAAAAAUAAUUAAAAAUAGUAAUAAUGAAAUAAAUUAAAUGAACCAAAUAAAGUGACCCACAAACGUUACAUUACCCCCUUUCCCACAGAACAGAUAUGUCCGCAUAUCUGGCAAAAUCCAUGUGCUAGUUAACGCGCGCUGCUAUGCAAAGCUGGUGGUCUCGGGUGCAAGAAAUCAAAAUUUUCAAUUAAGAUUAAAACAUCUCCCCUCCUGAAAUAUACAAAUAAUUAUACAAGCUGAAAAAUAUAUUUACUCCACAUUAUUACGAAAAAAUAUAUCUCAGCCACCACCAACCACUCCACAUUAAAAUGUAUAUAAUUAUCUAUAAUAAGUGACAACAAAUGGCAUUAUUGAUUUUUAUUUUCUAAGAGAAAGCUUAACAGCCCUCUUUAAGGAAUAAUAAUAAGUCCUCAUUUUGGUUUUAUUCAAAUGGACACCAUCUGUUGUCAAUAGAAAUUUUGAUGUCAACCUCUUUGGUGUCCAAUACACUAGAAAACCUUUAAACUCCCUUUUUGUCAAAUUUACAAGUUCCAGAUUAAUCUGGGCUCUUCUGCCUGCAUAUACAGACCUUGAAACUCUAGUUUUCAACCUAUGAAACAAUUGAACUAUAACCACCUUUUUUACAUUUUUAGACUUCAAAUGUCUCAAAAACUCUUUAAAAGUCUCUAUAAAAGUAUUAACCUUGAAAUUAUGGUUAUCUAUGUCAUUACCUCCAAUUUGUAAUACUACUAUUGUAGGAGAAAAAUUAGUGAUCAAUCUUUGAAAGACAUGAUCUUGUAUCAUAUUGCACAAUUUUGUACCACCUUUACCAUACAUAAUACCAUUAAUAUAAGUAAUACCAAAGUUGGUUGACAUCCUAUUCAUUUUACAAUAAUUAGAUAAUCUUCGAAUAUAACUAUGUCCCAAAGUAAGUACAGUGGGAUUCAUUUUUAAUCUUUAAAUCUAUUUUCCCAAUAUAAUUUUAAUAUAUCUUUACUUUUGGUUUCUGAAAUUUAACCCUGAAAAAUAAAUUGUAAGGUGAUAUUAAUAUUGAAUUAGUCAUGAUUAACCGAAAUAAAAUCUAUUUAUAAUUACAUUAUGUUUUUCUUAAAAUAAAAGAAACGAAAGUCCUUGUUCAACACCUGAUUCCUAGCGAAAAAAGUUCAUCUCCACCAACACGAAAUCAGUGUAAGCGUUGAAUAAUGAUAAAGAUCUGACGCACUUCCAAGAU